Molecule: long non-coding RNA, 1962 nt
Organism: Drosophila mojavensis
Lineage: Eukaryota; Metazoa; Arthropoda; Insecta; Diptera; Drosophilidae
Exons: 3
Source: RefSeq, a predicted model, not a curated record
CAAGGGUUCAGGGGAUCUCGUAGUCGAGUAGUCUCGACUAGAGCUUUCUUACUUGUUACAUUUUUAAUUCUUAUAAUUAUUCCAGCCAAGCGAAUGAUUUCAAAUUUUCAGGUAACACGGCUAAAUAUCAUACUAACAAAAUAAAAUUAAGAUCUUAAACAUCCAUAGAGUAGAAGCAAAAAUAUAGACUCUUGAAGUUGCAAGAUUGAGUUCGUGUUACAGUUUUGCUCGUCAUGUACUGCACAACUUUGUGCACUUGAUGUUUUAAAAAAUGCAGAAAUUAAAAGCUAUUUACUUCAAUGUCGCAACAUAACGAAAUACAUUCAUAAGUUAUCAAAUGGUUAUCGUGAGGUAUUUGACUUUCGUAAACUAAAACUGCCUCAAUUGGAUUGUCCCACAAGAUGGGGAUCAACAUAUAAAAUGAUCGAUCGACUGAACAUAGCAAAGGACGUUUUGUGUAACAUUGAAGCAAUCGAAAAUAAAACGGAUGAUGAAAAUUUCGACGCUAGCUCUUUGUUGUGGGAGUUUAUAGAUUGCUACACCUGUAUAAUGAAUCCACUGCAAAAAACUAUUGUAAGAUUCCAAGAAGAGCAAUUGCACUUCGGCAAUUUUUACGCUUUGUGGCUCACAUGUAAGCUGACUACAAAUCAAAUUUUAUUAUCACGGUCAGACGGCGAACAUUCAAUUAGUUUUAAAAUUAGUAUUAGAUACUCGAACGGAAAAACUUAUAUCGAAUGUGGGAUUUGAUGCAUGACUAUACUUAGAUCCGAGGUUCCAACAAAUUCUCUCCGGGGCUCAGAAAAAAAAUGCUGUACACUUCUUGAAGACUUUAUGGGAUAAAAUUAAAACCAAUAACCCGAAACUUAAUUCCAAAAUCGAAACACUGAAGCUUCCUUACAUGAAAGCAAAUGUUAAUGUAUUGAAAUUCUGGAGAGAAAGAAAGUCGACUGAUCCUGAACUGUAUGCACUGAGCAAAGUAUGCUUCGCCAUUCCGCCAACACAAGUCACAAUAGAACGACAAUCGGAAUAGGUUAAACCACGACACUUUGGAAAAUAUUUUACUUGUCAGACUAAACUCAUCCCAUUUAGACGGUGCCAUCGACAGCUUCCCUUCAUUUGAAGACGAGGAAAACAAUCAGAAUUAGAAAUACAAAUUACUGCUUGUUUGAAAUUUAUUUUUUUUUUUUAAAUGCUUGAAUCGUAUAUAUUUUAUAGCACAAUGUGAAAAUAAAUGAAUUCUUAUAAUUUGAAAUUAACGUCUUAAAGGGCAAUAUUUCGUACACAGCUGCUAUGGAAGCAAAUACCCAGUGGCGACGACCUGAAUGAGGUCUGUUGAAAUAAUGCAAUACAUACGACAAAAAAGUAAUGCAUUACCUAUGAACAUUUUUUUCAGCGCAUUUGUAAUGUACAAAAUAAAAAGUGCUACUCAUACGACAGAAUCGAGCUCUUGUCAACUUCGUUACUGUAUGCCCCUUCCCCGCUAACCAACAAACGAUUUUCGUCUUUCGUUGCGUCGCGACGAAAUCGCCGAAUUUCGUUUUGGACUUUACCGUUUUUUGCAUGGAAUGCGUGCCUUCUUUCGUUUGGUUUUUUUGUCUAUGCCUAUUCCUUUUGUGUGUAUAGUGUUAAUGAGUGUAAAUACAAGUUCAAAAAUGCAUAUGUGUGAUGAUUUCUGUUUUCGUUUUACCCGCCGCGGCGCGUCACUUUUCUGCUAUUGUUGAGCCGUGCGGACGUAAAUUUAAAGGGAAGUAUCUGAUGCUAUAAAAACCGAAGGGUCCACUAAGAAGACCUAUAUAAGUACAAUAAGAAACUGCUUUCGCGUCCAGAAAGGUCGACUGGCAAAUCAGAAGUUCGAUAAUAAGGACAAACUAGAUAAUAAGACAUAGCUUUAGAUUUAGAUGUAGAUAGAUAUAAUAAAAUAGUAAUAAUACAUAGUUUAAGACUAUACAUUUAUUUAUAGAU